RNAcentral lists this non-coding RNA (45 nucleotides) under Schistosoma mattheei. The record is from RNAcentral. Lineage: Eukaryota; Metazoa; Platyhelminthes; Trematoda; Strigeidida; Schistosomatidae.
ACCCAGUAGACGAAUCCAAAAUAGGACGAAACGCGUGUCGUGGAU